RNAcentral lists this ribosomal RNA (305 nucleotides) under uncultured bacterium. Its description in RNAcentral is "bacterial SSU rRNA". It matches the Rfam family "Bacterial small subunit ribosomal RNA", at positions 338 to 660 of the family's 1533-position model. The record is from RNAcentral.
CCUACGGGGGGCAGCAGUGGGGAAUAUUGCACAAUGGGGGAAACCCUGAUGCAGCGACGCCGCGUGAGCGAUGAAGUAUUUCGGUAUGUAAAGCUCUAUCAGCAGGGAAGAAAAUGACAGUACCUGACUAAGAAGCCCCGGCUAACUACGUGCCAGCAGCCGCGGUAAUACGUAGGGGGCAAGCGUUAUCCGGAUUUACUGGGUGUAAAGGGAGCGUAGACGGCUGUGCAAACCAGAUGUGAAAGCCAGGGGCUCAACCCCGGGACUGCAUUUGGAACUGUGUGGCUGGAGUGUAAGAGAGGAAG